Canis lupus familiaris (dog) is the source of this 1298-nucleotide long non-coding RNA. RefSeq lists it as uncharacterized. The record is from RefSeq and is a predicted model, not a curated record. NCBI's taxonomy places the organism in Eukaryota, Metazoa, Chordata, Mammalia, Carnivora, Canidae. The transcript is spliced from 2 exons.
CAGGAGUAUGGGCUUUGACUCUGGGGUGACAAAAUGUUCGGGAACUAGACAGGAGUGAUGGUUGCACAACAUUGUAAAUGUACUAAAUGCAACUGAAUUGUACACCUUAAAAUACUUAAGUUAACCUCAAUAAAACAAAAAUAAUGAAAGAAAUUCAUGAUCGUGAUAAGAAAAUAUAUCUUUUUACACAACACAGAAUGGCACCACGUGACCUGUUUCACUUCCCUUUUGUACUCUCCAAAGGAAAUGAACAGAUGCCACAAUUUAGUAUGUACUCUUCUUCAAAGGUUUUCUAUAUAGAGAUGCACAGUAUGUGUAUAUGGGUAUUUAUGUGCAGAUAUUUCCUUUCUCUUUUACACAAGUGGGAUUAUGUUACUCUCAGCAUAUCGCCUUUUUUCCCUUGGCAAUAUAUCAAUGACCAUUCCAUAUCAAUACGUUUUUCUUAAUGACUCCAUUGUCUGGAAGUACCAUACUCUCCCCACCUCUCCAUCCUCAGAGUCCUGAAUUCCAACUCCCCUCCUGCCACACACUCCUCUGUGACUUUGACCUCCAUUGUUGCUUCUUCCCAUGGCAUUGUGAGGAGUCGCUAAUAUUCAGCAGGUGCCUGGCCCCAGGGGCUUUGUGAAAAUGACAGCUCUCUUCUCCCUCACUCUGCUACCCUAGGACCAGCUGAGGGUACUGAAGCAUAAUGCUGGAGAGUCUAGACUCCCCCUCUCGCUAGCUGUGUGACCUCGGGCAAGUUCCCCAGCCCCUCUGCGCCUCAGUUCCCUCCCCUGCGUUAAAGAUAGUAUCAGUCCUACAGGGUGGAGCUGGUGAAUCUGAGCACAGGGUCCAGCUCAGAGCUGGCUGCCCUCAUCUGAUCCUUCAGGAGGAAAAGUAGCCAAAGACUGGAAACAGCCGAGACAUCUAUCAACGAGAGAACGGAGAACCAACCUUGGUACAGCCAUCCAAUGGAAUACUCCUCAGCGGGCAGUGAAAGAGAACAAGCAUACGGAUCCAGGCCCCAACAUGGACCAAUCUCACAAACAUAAUGUUGAGUGAAAGAAGCCAGACUCAAGAGACUACAUUCUAUAUGACUCCAUUCAUACGAAGUUCAAGAACUAAAACUAAUCUAUGGUGAGGGAAGUCAGAAUAGCGGCUGCCAACACGGGAUGUUCUGGACAGGAAGCAAUAUCCAAGGAAGCCUUCUGGGGUGAUGGGGUUCAUGAUAUUCUGGUCACAUGGGUGUCUGCAUCGGUAAAAAAAAAAAAAAAAAAAGUACCCAGAGACAUAUUAAUAUUUGUUCAAAUUAAUGUAUG